Molecule: transfer RNA, 72 nt
Filed under: Ascosphaera apis ARSEF 7405
Lineage: Eukaryota; Fungi; Ascomycota; Eurotiomycetes; Onygenales; Ascosphaeraceae
Description: tRNA-Asp (GTC) (tRNA-Asp-GTC-1-1, tRNA-Asp-GTC-1-2)
Rfam family: tRNA
About the family: Transfer RNA (tRNA) molecules are approximately 80 nucleotides in length. Their secondary structure includes four short double-helical elements and three loops (D, anti-codon, and T loops).
Source: RNAcentral
UCCGAGUUGGUCUAGUGGUCAUGAUUUCCGCUUGUCACGCGGGAGACCGGGGUUCGAUUCCCCGACUCGGAG